CGCCAGAGUACAGCACUGUAUGUUAGGUACCUACACAAAAGCUUCGCCGCCUUUUGUUAUGUCAAUUAAAGUUUGGUUUAGUGUUCUUUAUUAACCCUUUCAUUAUGUAAGCAUUCGUUUGUGAAAAUAUACAACAAUGAAGCAUAUUCGGGUGCCGAAAUAUUGUGAAAAAUCGUUUUCCAUAAAAACGGUCGAAUAGAAGCUCAGAACACUUCACACGUGAAGACUUAUUAAAAUAUGGACUUAAUACAGGUUUAUUUUUUACGCUGACCACGGACUUCGCGGCGUCACAGCACCGAAUGAAAGAGAUCGUUACCUGCACGCGCUGCAAGGCAAGCUGCCUCUGGUACUGCAGAUACUCGUGCUUCUUCUUCCUCAUGGCCUGCAGCUUGGCGGCCAUCUGCAUCUGUCGCUGGCGAUCCACCGCCUCGGCCUGCGCCGCGAGCCUGGCAGCGUGCUCGGCACGCAGCGUGUCCAGCGCCGCGCGGCUGUCGCGGACCUGCGUCACUUUGUCCUGACAGACAGUUAUCGUACUAACAUCAUUGUCCUGCGAGGCGAUGGAGGAUGGUGCGGGGGCGGUGGGGGCGGCGGGGGCGGCGGAGUCGCGCGACAGCCGCUGUUCCCAGUAGUUUCUGUCGAGGU
This is a long non-coding RNA of Plodia interpunctella (Indianmeal moth), 642 nucleotides long. RefSeq lists it as uncharacterized. Lineage: Eukaryota; Metazoa; Arthropoda; Insecta; Lepidoptera; Pyralidae. The record is from RefSeq and is a predicted model, not a curated record. The transcript has 3 exons.